AUAAUAUUUAUCGAUGAGAUAGAUGCUGUGGCAAAAAGUCGUGAUGGAAAAUUUCGCAUUGUCAGCAAUGAUGAACGGGAGCAAACUUUGAAUCAAUUGCUCACUGAAAUGGAUGGCUUUGAUAGCAACUCUGCUGUGAUUGUUCUUGGUGCAACAAAUAGAUCAGAUGUCUUAGAUCCUGCACUUCGCCGACCAGGAAGAUUUGAUCGUGUGGUUAUGGUUUGUAUUUCAGCUUCUUCACAUUUUGGAUGGUCAAGAUUGACAGGCAAGCUAGUUCCACUAAAUAGUUGUCUCAGACAUUUAUCUCAUUUGGUCUAUACUCUAUAGGUGGAAACGCCUGAUAGGAAUGGAAGAGAAGCCAUUUUAAAAGUGCAUGCUUCCAAGAAAGAGCUUCCUCUUGGCGAGGAUGUUGACCUUAGUGACAUUGCAUCUAUGACCACUGGUUUUACUGGGGCUGAUCUUGCAAAUCUAGUAAAUGAAGCUGCUUUGUUGGCUGGAAGGGAAAACAAAUUAUUAGUGGAAAAAAUUGAUUUCAUUCAGGCGGUGGAGCGGUCAAUAGCAGGCAUAGAAAAAAAGACUGCCAAGUUACAAGGAAGUGAGAAGGCUGUGGUUGCACGUCAUGAAGCUGGUCAUGCAGUAGUUAGUACUGCCGUUGCUAACCUCCUUCCUGGGGGGCAACCUCGUGUUGAGGUAAAACAUGGAAGCAGUUUUUUUUCCCCUCAAGUUUUUCUUCGUGUUAAUGCCUUGGAAUUAAAUUCAAGAAUACCGAAGCUGCAUCCAUUUAAGAUAUGAUAUGCCAAAUGAGAGGGCUAAUGGGAUGAAAAAUAAAAAAUUUACUGUCUUACUGUCUUAUUGGUUGUAGCAUGCGUAGCAUUUUGUUGAGAUGUUUUGUAUAUACAGAAGUUUAGGUGGUUUAAAUGCUUUAUAUUGGCAUUACACACUUACAGUAUCAAAGUCUAACAAAAAUGUUGGAUUCCAAUAAGUUGACUUUCUUUCUCUAUUUUUUUCACAAAUGUAAAAAGCAAAGGGAUGAUUAGAAUUGGUCUGAUGUUUAAUAAUUAGAGUAUGAAGUACCGAUUCUGAAGUGCUGCAUAGAAUUUGAAGGGCCCUAUAGUUCAGGCAUACCAGACAAGUUAUUUCUUCGGCCGUGUAUGGCUAUCUGCAUAACAUGGAUGGACAAUAAUAAUUACUUUUGUUCAUUCAUCAGAAGUUAAGCAUAUUGCCAAGAUCAGGAGGGGCAUUGGGUUUUACUUAUAUACCGCCAACAAAUGAGGAUAGAUAUUUGCUCUUUAUUGAUGAGUUACGUGGUCGCUUGGUUACUCUUCUUGGAGGACGUGCAGCGGAAGAAGUUCUGUAUUCAGGUCGUGUCUCAACAGGUGCACUGGAUGAUAUACGGCGAGCUACUGACAUGGCAUAUAAGGCUGUAGCAGAAUAUGGUCUUAAUCAGACAAUAGGACCUGUGUCUCUAGCAACACUUUCUGGAGGUGGGAUGGAUGAGUCUGGAGUUGCUCCAUGGGGAAGGGAUCAGGGCCAUCUUGUUGAUCUUGUUCAAAUAGAGGUGAAAGCGUUGUUGCAAUCUGCCCUGGAUGUAGCACUUUCUGUUGUUCGUGCUAAUCCUACUAUCUUGGAAGGGCUUGGCGCCCACCUAGAAGGUAACAUGUUGCUUUUUAGCUGUUUUAAUAUUGUGAUACUCUGUACAUUAUCAAAUUGAUGCAUUUCCCAGUUAUUCAUUAAUUGCUGCUCCCUUCCCAGUAUUUUAUCUGUUUCAUUUUCAUUAACAAGAAUGUUUGUAAAUUGUGGUUGGUGCUUGACUUUUAUGGUGUAUUAUUUUUCCUCGAUAUGUUAAAUAAGCUAGCACGGUUGUAAUUGUCAGACCCUAGAUCUUGUCAAAUAUUUGCCUUUCUGGUGUCCUUAUCUCCAUUCUGGCAUGCAAAUGAAAUUAGAGUGGUUGAUGAAGGAUUUAUAUCCCCAUGGUAAUUUUUUUUUUUUUAUCGAGGAAUUGGCUUAAAUUUAGUUGUCCUUCGGAAAUGUUGCUAUCUGCAAUUUCUAUCUUGUAAUAAUAUACAUUAUUUAUUCAUUUUUUGGUGUAGAAAAAGAGAAAGUAGAAGGUGAGGAGCUGCAAGAGUGGUUAAAAUUGGUGGUUGCUCCAAAAGAGCUUGCAAUCUUUGUUAGAGGCAAGCCCCUUCUUCCGCUGCAGGCUGGCUUGUGAUAGCAAUAUUUGUGCAUUCAGCUCUUCAUUAUUGAGCAAAACACGAAGUUGGCUUAUAGCUCAUCAUAGCGCAACCUUGUGAUUGGCCUGACCUUAGCCUCACAACGUUGUAUAGUUUCACUGAGGUAAAUUUUUGUUCAUUUUGAUAUUAACUACCUAAAAAUAGACGAAGUGGGGGAAAUCUGAAGAUUUUUUUCUUCCAGAGCCUUUUCAAGCUUCUUGCCAUUCUAGUGUUAUCUUUGAUUCCUGCACGUUGGUCUUCGAAAUUGUCCUAUAUUGGCUGUAGAUUCUGUGCAGUUUUUGAAAUUGUACUAUAUUCAGUGAAAUAUAUAAUAUUUCAGAUAUGCAAAGCUUUUUCUGCAAACGUUGUGCAUAUUAUCGCAGGAAUAUCAUAACUUGUAUCAACAUUAUAUAGAUUCUUGCAUGCAAAUGAUUGGUGGUGGUGGCGGUGGUGGGGGCAAUCACUCAGUAUCUACUACAGCAGAUGAUUGAUUACAAGUUGAUGACCAAAAUGAAGAAAAAAGUUACUGGAAAAUUAACGACUGGCGAUUCACCCUUUUAUUUUGAAGAAAAUGCAAUCCCAAUUCUGAGGGAGAGUUUGUUAAAUCAGGAAUUUGUUAAAUAAGCUGUGUAAUGUUCCCUGUAAGGUAAUGAAGUAUGUAGCUUGCAUGCUCAGAUCAGAUUUAGUGGGUAUGAAAGAAAAUAUCAUGAAGGAUGAAAAGUGCUUGAUCAUAUGAUAUUGAUAUUUUUGUUGGGAGACUAAACUAUCAACGUUGCUUUCUGAGCAUGAUAAUUCCUUUACAGCUCUAAAGAAAAAGUAAAAAGAGUACUUGAACCUUUGCGAGGAUCACAUCCAGAGCAGCGCUUGAAGUAGUCUUCUUCUAGCUCUAUCUACAAACGUAUGGAAAUGGAAUCAAGGUUGAAACCGGCAGGCGAUUCUUUUGGUUUUCCUCCUAUGCAAUCAAUUAUCUUCGUUAAUCCCUGUGUAGCAUCUUUGCUUGAUCAAGUAAAAAAGCUUGUGUAAAUUUUGCUGCCAAAUUGAAGUUAAUAAAAACAAAGGGUCUCUGAU
This 3278-nucleotide unclassified non-coding RNA is filed under the name Hevea brasiliensis (rubber tree). Lineage: Eukaryota; Viridiplantae; Streptophyta; Magnoliopsida; Malpighiales; Euphorbiaceae. The record is from RNAcentral.